Molecule: ribosomal RNA, 479 nt
Filed under: uncultured bacterium
Lineage: Bacteria
Description: partial 16S ribosomal RNA
Rfam family: Bacterial small subunit ribosomal RNA
Source: RNAcentral
GAUGAACGCUAGCGGGAGGCCUAACACAUGCAAGCCGAGCGGUAUUUGUUCUUCGGAACAGAGAGAGCGGCGCACGGGUGCGGAACACGUGUGCAACCUGCCUUUAUCUGGGGGAUAGCCUUUCGAAAGGAAGAUUAAUACCCCAUAAUAUAUUGAGUGGCAUCAUUUGAUAUUGAAAACUCCGGUGGAUAGAGAUGGGCACGCGCAAGAUUAGAUAGUUGGUGAGGUAACGGCCCACCAAGUCAAUGAUCUUUAGGGGGCCUGAGAGGGUGAUCCCCCACACUGGUACUGAGACACGGACCAGACUCCUACGGGAGGCAGCAGUGAGGAAUAUUGGACAAUGGGUUAGCGCCUGAUCCAGCCAUCCCGCGUGAAGGACGACGGCCCUAUGGGUUGUAAACUUCUUUUGUAUAGGGAUAAACCUACUCUCGUGAGAGUAGCUGAAGGUACUAUACGAAUAAGCACCGGCUAACUCCGUG